CCUACGGGAGGCAGCAGUGGGGAAUAUUGCGCAAUGGGCGAAAGCCUGACGCAGCGACGCCGCGUGGGGGAUGAAGGUCUUCGGAUCGUAAACCUCUGUCAGCAGGGAAGAACGGUCACUGGGCUAAUCAGCAGUGAAUUGACGGUACCUGCAAAGGAAGCACCGGCUAACGCCGUGCCAGCAGCCGCGGUAAGACGGAGGGUGCGAGCGUUAAUCGGACUUACUGGGCGUAAAGCGCUCGUAGGCGGUAUGUCAAGUCAAGGGUGAAAUCCCCGCGCUCAACGUGGGAACUGCCUUUGAAACUGGCCAACUGGAGUGUGUGAGAGGCUAGUGGAAUUCCAGGUGUAGGCGU
Molecule: ribosomal RNA, 352 nt
Filed under: uncultured bacterium
Lineage: Bacteria
Description: partial 16S ribosomal RNA
Rfam family: Bacterial small subunit ribosomal RNA
Source: RNAcentral